AGUGGAAAUUUGAAACUACUUCAAGAGUGUAUUCAACGCCUUUUGUUUUCCGUAACCACAACCAUACCAAUGAAAUGUUACUGGCAGCAGCAUCUACUGAUGGGAAACUGUGGAUCUUGGAAUCUAAGAGUGGACAGUUGCAAAUUUUUGAUACAUGAACGUUAGAAGAUGUGGUAGCUUCUGCUUCUACAGCCAUGGGACCCCUGAGCAGCACAUCAGUCUGGCCGGCUACUGGAGAAGAAAUGUGAUGAGGGAGCCAUGAGCUAAGACUACACUAAGAACCAAGGAAGCCAGUGAACAGUGACAGUCAAUGAUAUGGCCCCCAGCAUUCCAGCCGACUCCAGCUAUACACUGUGUUGCUGACCAUUCCCCUAAUUCUGCAGACAACUGUAGUAUCAUUUCAUUUGUUCAUUCAUUCACCAGUAGAAUCUCAAAUAUCAAACAUGCCAAAGUUCUUGGUGGCAAGCAAUAUAAGCUAAAUUUGGGCUAUUUUAA
This is a non-coding RNA of Odocoileus virginianus texanus, 495 nucleotides long. NCBI's taxonomy places the organism in Eukaryota, Metazoa, Chordata, Mammalia, Artiodactyla, Cervidae. The record is from RefSeq and is a predicted model, not a curated record.